Odocoileus virginianus texanus is the source of this 1215-nucleotide long non-coding RNA. RefSeq lists it as uncharacterized. NCBI's taxonomy places the organism in Eukaryota, Metazoa, Chordata, Mammalia, Artiodactyla, Cervidae. The record is from RefSeq and is a predicted model, not a curated record.
UUACCUUUCUGUGUAUAUUAAAAGACACCACCACCACAGAAGUUGACUAGCACAGGGUAAAAGAAGAUGUGGUCUUUGCCAAACAGGACAGAAACCUGCAAUGAGAGAUAACAAAACUUUAAAAUGUAUGUUGAGCUAAUGAACAGAAGUGAUAACAUAGAAGAUUAAAGCAGGAAUUUGUGGAGAACAAACUUGAGGAAUUCUUCCAGAACACAGAGGAAAAUAGAAAAGAAGUCAUGUGGGAGAAUAUGAUGGCUGUGGAGAACAGAAAUUUGAGACAUGACCUAGAAACAAUUGACUCUGAAGCAGAGAACAGAACAAAUGGGGCAGAAUACUUCACUAUGAAGUGAAAGAAUAUCUUCUGACUGCCAGAAAGAGAGACCUCUAUGUUGAUCAAAACAAUUUGCUCCUCCUAUACCAAAUCAAUGAUAAGAGAUUCACUAGUAGGCGCACCCCAGCAAAAUUUUCAAAGCAUCCAGGAUGAGGAGGUAUGCUGAAAAACUAGACUGGAUAUACACAUCACCUUUGUAGUGUGAAACACUUAGACAAAAGCAUGAUAGUUUGUCAAUGAUAUUAUUAUCUAUCCAGAAAAUUAAAUGCUGUUAAUACAGAAGUUGUAGAAAAGAUUUUCCAGAAUUUAUAACUGAGUUUAGCACCAUGAUCAUCUUUUAAGCUACUUUGCAAAAAUAACAGUUUCUUAUUUUCCAGCAGUAAGCAGUGUACUGGAGUGCUUGCCUGUCCUGGAGUGGGGGCUAGGAGGCUGUGUGACACUUUUCAGUCUCGCGGGACUAUAGAACAAGGCGUGGAUUCCAGAACCACCGAAAGGAAGUCUGAUGAAUGCACCUCCCUUUAGGUUGAGACCUCAAAGGGGUGUCUGUACCCUAGGAGUAAGGUUGAAUUAGGCAUAAAUAGGCUUUCAGGGGGAUUGCAACUGAGCUUAAGUAUUCAGUUUCUGAAAUUGGGUCAGGGUGAUCCCAUGUUACUAGCGCUUCCAGGCACAAGGCAAAAGGAAACUCAUUCUAAGAAAAGAGAUAACUAAAGGUUUAAGUCACUAAAAAGAUGUAACAGUGCUAAAUAUGUAUGCCUCUAAUUUUAUAAAAUAUUUUUAGUGGAAUAAUAACAAAAAUACUAUAUGUACAUCCAAUGUUGUACAAUGCAGAUCACUGUGCCUAGAGAAAAUAUUUAUCCAAAUAAAUUAAAAUAACAUAUAAUGCA